UCUGUUGAUUUUGUUUCUGGCGAGAGAAAAAAAGAGACGACAGAGGCGACUAAGAGAACACGAAAUCCACUUAAAUCCACCACCGCCGCCGGUGAAAUCCUCUCAAACGCUGUUGGUCGCUGCUGCAAUACCGUUUUUUGCUAUUUUUGGGCUCUAAUUUUCGCUAUUUGGAGCUCUGAUUUCCGCCGGCGAACUGUUUUCCUUUCCCUUUAUCCCCCGCCAAACGCCGUUGCUCGCAACUGCGACACCAAACAAGUCAAUAGGUCAGUAGUAUAGGAGGCUUUUUGUGAGGGGAAAAACUGACAAAGCAUCUGAUUUGGAAGCAGUUAAGAUGUUUCAAACACAUGAUAUAAAUUUUGAUGGGGUGAAAAAUUUGUAAAACAUCCUAAACUUAGUUAUAUAGGAGGGC
Sesamum indicum (sesame) is the source of this 409-nucleotide long non-coding RNA. RefSeq lists it as uncharacterized. NCBI's taxonomy places the organism in Eukaryota, Viridiplantae, Streptophyta, Magnoliopsida, Lamiales, Pedaliaceae. The record is from RefSeq and is a predicted model, not a curated record.